GACGAACGCUGGCGGCGUGCCUAAUACAUGCAAGUCGAGCGGACAGAUGGGAGCUUGCUCCCUGAUGUYAGCGGCGGACGGGAGAGUAACACGUGGGUAACCUGCCUGUAAGACUGGGAUAACUCCGGGAAACCGGGGCUAAYACCGGAUGCUUGAUUGAACCGCAUGGUUCAAUUAUAAAAGGUGGCUUUUAGCUACCACUUACAGAUGGACCCGCGGCGCAUUAGCUAGUUGGUGAGGUAACGGCUCACCAAGGCAACGAUGCGUAGCCGACCUGAGAGGGUGAUCGGCCACACUGGGACUGAGACACGGCCCAGACUCCUACGGGAGGCAGCAGUAGGGAAUCUUCCGCAAUGGACGAAAGUCUGACGGAGCAACGCCGCGUGAGUGAUGAAGGUUUUCGGAUCGUAAAACUCUGUUGUUAGGGAAGAACAAGUACCGUUCGAAUAGGGCGGUACCUUGACGGUACCUAACCAGAAAGCCACGGCUAACUACNUGC
This 499-nucleotide ribosomal RNA is filed under the name Bacillus sp. (in: firmicutes). RNAcentral's name for it is "bacterial SSU rRNA". It matches the Rfam family "Bacterial small subunit ribosomal RNA", at positions 28 to 508 of the family's 1533-position model. The record is from RNAcentral. Lineage: Bacteria; Bacillati; Bacillota; Bacilli; Caryophanales; Bacillaceae.